RNAcentral lists this ribosomal RNA (497 nucleotides) under uncultured bacterium. RNAcentral's name for it is "partial 16S ribosomal RNA". It matches the Rfam family "Bacterial small subunit ribosomal RNA", at positions 28 to 507 of the family's 1533-position model. The record is from RNAcentral.
GAUGAACGCUGGCGGCGUGCCUAAUACAUGCAAGUCGAGCGAACAGAUAAGGAGCUUGCUCCUUUGACGUUAGCGGCGGACGGGUGAGUAACACGUGGGUAACCUACCUAUAAGACUGGGAUAACUUCGGGAAACCGGAGCUAAUACCGGAUAAUAUUUCGAACCGCAUGGUUCGAUAGUGAAAGAUGGUUUUGCUAUCACUUAUAGAUGGACCCGCGCCGUAUUAGCUAGUUGGUAAGGUAACGGCUUACCAAGGCGACGAUACGUAGCCGACCUGAGAGGGUGAUAGGCCACACUGGAACUGAGACACGGUCCAGACUCCUAAGGGAGGCAGCAGUAGGGAAUCUUCCGCAAUGGGCGAAAGCCUGACGGAGCAACGCCGCGUGAGUGAUGAAGGUCUUCGGAUCGUAAAACUCUGUUAUUAGGGAAGAACAUACGUGUAAGUAACUGUGCACGUCUUGACGGUACCUAAUCAGAAAGCCACGGCUAACUACGUG